AACGGUGUCGGAUGGAAUGAGGAGGAAAAAAAGCAAGAGUGAUCAAUGAAAAAUAGCCGCCUUUGAGUCUGGGCGGGAAAUCGCGGAGCCCCAAAUCAGUAGUAACUGAACUAAACCUCAAUCCCAAAUCGACUUUGCUGCAUUUCCUUCGGAGCUGCGAAUUGGAAGAAGGAAAUGCCUCCAAAGAAGAAAUCCAAGUCGUCUUCUUCUUCAACCUCAUCAGCGAAGAAAAACCAUCAAAACUCACAGCAGCAGCAGCAGCAGCAGCAGCAGCAACAACCUUCCAAGUUUGGAAUCCAACAUUUCUUCAAUCUCCACACACAAAACGCACUUUCCCUCUCUCAAAAUCCCCAACCUCCACCCACUCCUCCAAUUCCCCAAACCCUCUCUCAAAACCCUAUAAUUUCCCCUAAUUCUCUAAACCCUAAAUUUGCGCCACCCUCCAAUUCUCACCACCUCGAUGCCGACGAUAACGUGAUGGAUGUCUCACCUGAAAUCACCAAGUCGGUGUCUCUCCAACGCUUCAAGUUCUCUCCUGGAAUGUUGAUAAAGCAGAGCCAGGAUGAUGGUGGCGAUGAGGUCACAUGGAAGAUAUCUCCGGUUAGUGAAAGACUCCAAGCUGUCUCCAAGCAAAUGCCCCAACUCAUUCAACUCUUAGCUGAAACUUCAAAGCUUAAUUCUUUCAGCAUUCGUCCUUGUUCCUCUUUAAAUGACGAGAUUUCAUCUGGUACUGCUGGCAAGGUUGAUAAGCAGGUUCCUUCACCUCCAUGGAAGGGUGCUGACAGAUCUUUGGUGCCUGCUAGUAGAGUUGGAUUGAAAAGAAUAAACCCACGUCAGGAUGUAAAUUUGACUGAUGUUAAUUGCUCGCUUGCUGGUCGACAAAGUCCUUUCAGAACUCCGCCGUCCCUUUCGUAUUGUCACGAAAAGCUUUCUAAUGUUGCUGAAUGCAAUGGAGCAUCAGAUCAACUGGAUCAAAGGCAACACAAAAAGGCAUUGCUUGAGCUUUUGGAUCAAGUAGAAGAUGCAAUUUCUGUUGAAGAUUCAGAACCUAGUACUGUCAAUUCAUCUAAAACUCAAGAUGGAAAUGGUUAUGACAUGCCCUGCAAUGCUGGAUCUCUAGUAAAAGAAGCAGCAAUAGAUCCACCAGAAAGUGUUGCUGUGCCAUUGUCAAAUUAUAAUUUUCUUGUAUUGGAGGUAUCUGAGAAGCACAGGCCCGCGGAUUUAUCUGGUGCUCAAUGCCCUUAUAAGGUUCUUCGAUUGUUGAAUGAGCAAAGUGGAGAAGAGCGAACUGUCUAUUUGUGGGAAGAGUGGUUCUAUAGUGUCAUUUCACCUGGAGAUACUGUAAAUGUGAUUGGUGAAUUUGAUGACCAAGGAAAGUGUGACGUGGAUCGUGACAAUAAUCUCUUAAUUGUUCAUCCUGACAUUCUAGUCUCUGGAACUCGGGUUGCUGCUAGUUUCAGUUGUCCACGUCGAACUGUUUUAGAUGAGAGACUAAAAUGCAGUGAGCAUUCAACUGCUGCAUUAAUUGGUACCUUGCUGCACCAAAUUUUUCAGGCUGGACUCAUGCAAGAUAAUCCUACCAUAAACUUUUUGGAGGAAUAUGCUAGAAUAGUACUCCAGAAAAAUAUUGAAAGCCUGCAUGCAUGUGGAGUAAAUGAAAAUGAUAUCUUCAAUACUUUGGUUGAGGCAAUUCCUAAACUAAUAAAUUGGAUCAACCUGUUCAAAGAUUCACAGGAUUCAAAAGCCCCCAUUAUUGAUUUUGGUCCUGACAAUGGAUUGAAAAAGCUAAGUAUAUCUGAGGUGAUUGAUAUCGAGGAGAUGGCAUGGGCCCCAAAAUAUGGGUUGAAAGGAAUGAUUGAUGCUUCUGUCCGCGUUAAAGUAGAGUCAGGCAGAAAUAAAGCAGAUGAGAAGAUUGUGCCUCUAGAGUUUAAAACUGGGAAAGUUUCCAAUGGGCAGUCAUCCAUGGAACAUGUAGCCCAAGUGAUUUUGUACACUCUUCUCAUGUCUGAGAGGUAUCUGAAACAUAUUGAUUCUGGUCUUCUGUAUUACCUCCAAUCAGAUCAGACACGGGGAAUCACGGUUCAAAGGUCUGAUGUGGUUGGGCUAAUCAUGCGUCGAAAUGAGCUUGCAAAUGACAUCCUUAAGGCAUCAAGAACUCAACAAUUGCCUCCAAUGCUACAGAGCCUAAAUAUGUGCAGAAGUUGCCGCCAUCUUGAUGUUUGUACAAUCUAUCAUAAGGUGCAUGGUGGAAGCAAAGAGAGUAGUGGACUAGGUGAUCUGUUUGAUUCACAUGUUCAUCAUCUGACAACUGCUCAUUAUGUUUUUCUUCGACGCUGGGAUCAGUUGAUUGACUUAGAGGCUAAAGAGACACAGCUUGUAAAAAACAGAAUAUGGCGUCCACAUAGUUUGAAGAGUGAUCGUUCCACUAGUUGCCUUUCUUCUGUUGUUCUUGAUACUUCAGAUCGAGUUCCAUAUCAGAAAUCUCUCAAAGACAACCGAUUCAUUUAUCGUUUUGUCCAUAAAAAAAUGCCUCUUCAUGACGUGCAUGCUUCUGGUGGAGAAUCUUUGAGUUUUCCUUCAUCUUCGGCAGAAGAUUUCGAUUAUACACUUAAAAGUGGAGACUAUGUGAUUAUUAGUACCAAAUUUGGCCAUCAAACUGUAGCAAGUGGGUUCAUAACAGAUAUCAGUCGGUCCCAUGUUUCUGUUUCUUUUCCUAAGCACUUAAGACUCCCUGGCAGCAAUUCUUCGUCAGAAGCACAUAAUCUCUUUAGGGAGGUCUGGCAGAUUGACAAGGACGAGUUUAUGACUUCAUUUUCAGUUAUGCGGUUCAACCUUGUACAACUGUUUCUCCAAAGUGAACAAAGUUCUCACCUUAGGAAGAUGAUUGUUGAUCUUGAGGCUCCUCGAUUUGACAGUGGAUGUAUAUUUAGUCAAGAUCCAGCCCUAUCUUAUAUAUGGUCAGUGAAGAAUUUAAAUGGAGAUCAGCGUCGGGCAAUUCUGAAGACUCUUACAGCUAAGGAUUAUGCUCUAAUACUAGGGAUGCCUGGAACUGGAAAGACAUCGACCUUGGUACAUGCUGUCAAGGCCAUGUUGAUGAGAGGUGCAUCCAUUUUGCUCACGUCCUACACAAACUCUGCAAUUGAUAAUUUACUAAUCAAAUUAAAAGCUCAGGGUAUUGAUUUUCUACGAAUUGGAAGACAUGAAGUUGUCCAUGAGGAAGUCCGUGCCAAUUGCGUUUCUGCAAUGGAUGUACACAGUGUAGAAGACAUUAAAUUAAGAUUAGAGCAAGUCAAGGUUGUUGCAGUAACUUGCUUGGGAAUUUCUAGUCCCUUGCUUGCCAACAAGAAAUUUGAUGUAUGCAUCAUGGAUGAAGCUGGACAAAUUACCCUCCCAAUAGCUUUGGGACCCUUGAUGUUUGCUUCAAAGUUUGUUCUUGUUGGUGAUCACUAUCAACUGCCUCCACUUGUCCAGAGUACAGAGGCUCGCGAGAAUGGAAUGGGGAUAAGUUUGUUUUGUAGGCUUUCUGAGGCACAUCCUCAAGCAAUUUCAGCUUUGCAAAGCCAGUACCGCAUGUGUCAAGAUAUUAUGGAACUAUCAAAUGCCUUGAUAUAUGGUGACAGACUGCGUUGUGGUUCUUCUGAAAUAGCAAAUGCCAGGCUUAAAUUUUCAGGUUUACAGUCCUGUUCAUCGUGGCUAAAGGAGGUAUUAAAUCCUGGCAGACCCGUCAUAUUUAUUAACACAGAUAUGCUGCCAGCUUACGAGGCAAAGGACUCCAAAACUGUGAAUAACCCAAUAGAAGCUUACAUAGUUGCAGAGGUCACAAAGGAAUUACUUAAUAAUGGGAUUGUAGGUGAUGAUAUUGGCAUUAUUACCCCUUAUAAUUCCCAGGCAAAUCUCAUCCGAGCUUCUGUUAACGUAACCUCUGUGGAGAUUCAUACCAUUGAUAAAUACCAGGGAAGAGACAAGGAAUGCAUACUGGUAUCCUUUGCUAGGUCCAGUGAAAAUCCAAGAAAUUGUACGUCUUCGUUGCUUGGAGAUUGGCAUAGGAUUAAUGUGGCGCUCACACGAGCCAAGAAAAAGUUGAUCUUAGUAGGGUCGUGCAAAACCCUGUCAAAGGUCCCGCUGCUGAAGCUUCUUGUUGAGAAGGUUGAAGAGCAAUCAGGCAUUAUCAAUGUGUCCAAGACAGAUAUCAACUACGAAGAGCACAAAGGAGAGCUGAAAAGAUGUUCUCAUAUCAGAUGAUUACUGCUUUCAGUUCACCAAAACGGAAAAAGAAAAGAAAAACGGGUGACGGCAUGAAUUGGCUUCUUCCCCCCUUCUCAUUAUGCCAAAGAUUUGGCGUUUGGGGCGGUAAAGAUUGUGCAGGAGGAACAUUCAAAGUCGGGACUUCGGUAGAAGGAGCUCGUGCACAAGGAGUGACAAGAAGGUGUUUAUUACCCUUAAAUUGUUAAAUUCUAUUGUUAAAUUGAUCUCUUUAAAUUGUUAAAUUGUUGGAAAGAAAGAGAAUUGAAAUAUGUAUAUGGAAGCAUGUAACAUAUAAAAUGACUUGCGUAUGCUAAAUAUAAAGGAAAUUAUUGCGCUGUGAAUGAGAUGAAUAAAGGAAA
Molecule: RNA transcript, 4604 nt
Organism: Populus trichocarpa (black cottonwood)
Lineage: Eukaryota; Viridiplantae; Streptophyta; Magnoliopsida; Malpighiales; Salicaceae
Gene name: DNA replication ATP-dependent helicase/nuclease JHS1
Exons: 35
Source: RefSeq, a predicted model, not a curated record